This 529-nucleotide ribosomal RNA is filed under the name Escherichia coli. RNAcentral describes it as "partial 23S ribosomal RNA". It matches the Rfam family "Bacterial large subunit ribosomal RNA", at positions 405 to 935 of the family's 2925-position model. The record is from RNAcentral. Lineage: Bacteria; Pseudomonadati; Pseudomonadota; Gammaproteobacteria; Enterobacterales; Enterobacteriaceae.
UCGAUGAGUAGGGCGGGACACGUGGUAUCCUGUCUGAAUAUGGGGGGACCAUCCUCCAAGGCUAAAUACUCCUGACUGACCGAUAGUGAACCAGUACCGUGAGGGAAAGGCGAAAAGAACCCCGGCGAGGGGAGUGAAAAAGAACCUGAAACCGUGUACGUACAAGCAGUGGGAGCACGCUUAGGCGUGUGACUGCGUACCUUUUGUAUAAUGGGUCAGCGACUUAUAUUCUGUAGCAAGGUUAACCGAAUAGGGGAGCCGAAGGGAAACCGAGUCUUAACUGGGCGUUAAGUUGCAGGGUAUAGACCCGAAACCCGGUGAUCUAGCCAUGGGCAGGUUGAAGGUUGGGUAACACUAACUGGAGGACCGAACCGACUAAUGUUGAAAAAUUAGCGGAUGACUUGUGGCUGGGGGUGAAAGGCCAAUCAAACCGGGAGAUAGCUGGUUCUCCCCGAAAGCUAUUUAGGUAGCGCCUCGUGAAUUCAUCUCCGGGGGUAGAGCACUGUUUCGGCAAGGGGGUCAUCCCGAC